Molecule: ribosomal RNA, 579 nt
Filed under: uncultured bacterium
Lineage: Bacteria
Description: bacterial SSU rRNA
Rfam family: Bacterial small subunit ribosomal RNA
Source: RNAcentral
AGGCAGCAGUGGGGAAUUUUGGACAAUGGGCGAAAGCCUGAUCCAGCCAUUCCGCGUGAGUGAAGAAGGCCUUCGGGUUGUAAAGCUCUUUCGCAAGGGAAGAAAACUUAGGCGCUAAUAUCGCUUGAGGUUGACGGUACCUUGGUAAGAAGCACCGGCUAACUACGUGCCAGCAGCCGCGGUAAUACGUAGGGUGCGAGCGUUAAUCGGAAUUACUGGGCGUAAAGCGUGCGCAGGCGGUUUUGUAAGUCAGAUGUGAAAUCCCCGAGCUCAACUUGGGAACUGCGUUUGAAACUAUAAGACUAGAAUAUGUCAGAGGGGGGUAGAAUUCCACGUGUAGCAGUGAGAUGCGUAGAGAUGUGGAGGAAUACCAAUGGCGAAGGCAGCCCCCUGGGAUAAUAUUGACGCUCAUGCACGAAAGCGUGGGGAGCAAACAGGAUUAGAUACCCUGGUAGUCCACGCCCUAAACGAUGUCUACUAGUUGUUGGUGGAGUAAAAUCCAUGAGUAACGCAGCUAACGCGUGAAGUAGACCGCCUGGGGAGUACGGUCGCAAGAUUAAAACUCAAAAGAAUUGACGG